UAGGGAAUAUUGCAAAAUGGGCGAAAGCCCGAUGCAGCAACGCCGCGUGGGCGAUGAAGGCCUUCGGGUCGUAAAGCCCUUUUUGAGGGGAUGAGGAAGGACAGUACCCUCAGAAUAAGCCUCGGCUAACUACGUGCCAGCAGCCGCGGUAAAACGUAGGAGGCGAGCGUUAUCCGGAUUUACUGGGCGUAAAGCGCGUGCAGGCGGAUUGGAGAGUUGGAUGUGAAAGCUCCCGGCUUAACUGGGAGAGGUCGUUCAAUACUUCCAGUCUUGAGAUUGGUAGAGGAGAAUGGAAUUCCGGGUGUAGUGGUGAAAUGCGUAGAUAUCCGGAGGAACACCAGUGGCGAAAGCGGUUUUCUGGACCAAUUCUGACACUCAGAUGCGAAAGCUAAGGUAGCAAAC
RNAcentral lists this ribosomal RNA (402 nucleotides) under uncultured bacterium. RNAcentral describes it as "bacterial SSU rRNA". It matches the Rfam family "Bacterial small subunit ribosomal RNA", at positions 355 to 773 of the family's 1533-position model. The record is from RNAcentral.